Molecule: long non-coding RNA, 1406 nt
Organism: Condylostylus longicornis
Lineage: Eukaryota; Metazoa; Arthropoda; Insecta; Diptera; Dolichopodidae
Exons: 3
Source: RefSeq, a predicted model, not a curated record
CUUUGAUUCAGUUAGAAUAAUUAGAAUAGCAUGUAAAUAUUUAUUUUAAUGUACCUUUUUUUUGAAUUGUGAUGGCAAUAAAAAAAAAUAUUGCCUGAAUUUAUUGCUUAAAUAAUUACAAAGGUGAAUAAAAGUACCCAAAGUGCUAAAACUGAAGAUUUUAAGUAUUUAAAGCAUUGAUUUUCUAGAAAUAAAGCAGUAAAUUUUCCAAGAAACAGGAUUGCAUAUGCAAACAAAACGCUAAAGAAAUAUGUAUAUAAUUUAAUAAUGAAUAGGUAUAUAAAAUAAAUAGCAGGUUUGUUCACUUCACCCUACGAAGUGCUUAUUGGGUGCACUUAAAGGUUAAUUUUAACAUAGUAUAAAAAGAAGAAAUAUUCGGAGACAAAAAUAAUUUAUAACUUACUUUACUCACGUCCCAAAAUAUUUACUACAGCAAUUUAUUUAUUACUCCAACUCAAUUUAUUAUAUAAAACUUUGAAUAAAUAACCAAUUUAAUUAGUUUAAUUGCAAAAACUUAAUUAACUUAUAUAUAUGUAGAUAUUUUUGGAAAUAAUGUUAAUGUAGAAACAUUCAAAAUUUACAUGAAAAAUUAAUUUUUUUUGUAGUUAGUUUAGUUAAAGUUGCAUAAGUGGGCAUUAAUUUGUUUAUUAAACUAUGAUUAAGAAAUUUAUCUUAGGAUUUUUUUUAAAUUCAAAUUAUAAUGCGUUUAUACAUUAUGUAUUUAUUAACUUAUAAGGUACUUGUUUCCCCUUAUUAAAUCAUAAAUUUCAAUUUACAAAAAAAAACAACAAAGUUCAAGAGUUUACCAACUUUUCCUUUAAUAGAACUUUAAUCAUAUUGGAAAACUUUGUAAACAAUAUUUGGAAAGGAUCAGGAUUAAAGUACAUGAUGUUAAACAGAAAAAAUGGAUGACGCGCUUAAAGUUGAAAAACAUAUUUUAGUUAUUUGAUUCGAAACUUUUUCGAAGAAGAUGAAAAUAUUCGAUAACAGAUCUAUAAUGAACAAUAGGAUGAUAAUUAACUACUUUGGCUAUAAUGAAUAUCUUGAAAUAGUAAACGAACUGUAAUGCUCUUUUAUAUACUUUUACCAUCAUAAAUUUUUGAAUGAAAAUAUGUUAAGAUGUUCAAAUUUUUGUUCUUAGACCUAUGAAAAAAAUAUUUUAAUGAGUAAGCAAAAUAAAAAUAAUUUGUUAUUAAUCUUAAAAUUUUGUAUAAUUUUGCUGAGUAACAUUUUUCGCGGUUGUUAAUUUCUCUAUCUGCCACCGUCGCCUAAACUAAAGUUUGGGCAAAAAAAGAGUUAAAUGCUUUUUGUACUCGCUAAAAAUUAAAACUUUAAAUUCUUCAUUCCAUUUAAUUUUCCUAUCAAAUGUUCAUACAGAUUUAAAUAGCAUAUUUAACUUUUAUUAC